UACGAAGGGUGCAAGCGUUGCUCGGAAUCAUUGGGCGUAAAGCGCACGUAGGCGGCUUUGCAAGUCGGAUGUGAAAUCCCGUGGCUCAACCAUGGACGUGCAUUCGAAACUGCAAAGCUUGAGUAUGGAAGAGGGUCGCGGAAUUCCCGGUGUAGAGGUGAAAUGCGUAGAUAUCGGGAGGAACACCAGUGGCGAAGGCGACUUUCUGGCCUGUUCUUGACGCUGAGGCGCGAAAGCUAGGGGAGCAAACGGG
This 253-nucleotide ribosomal RNA is filed under the name uncultured bacterium. RNAcentral's name for it is "partial 16S ribosomal RNA". It matches the Rfam family "Bacterial small subunit ribosomal RNA", at positions 524 to 776 of the family's 1533-position model. The record is from RNAcentral.